Molecule: small RNA, 1210 nt
Filed under: Pongo abelii (Sumatran orangutan)
Lineage: Eukaryota; Metazoa; Chordata; Mammalia; Primates; Hominidae
Description: retained intron
Source: RNAcentral
GCACAACCCAUGGCUGCGCUGGGCCGCGCGAGGCUGAGGUGGGCGCUGCGAGGGGCCGGCCGUGGCCUCUGCCCCCACGGGGCCAGAGCCAAGGCCGCGAUCCCUGCCGCCCUCCCCUCGGACAAGGCCACCGGAGCUCCCGGAGCCGGGCCUGGUGUCCGGCGGCGGCAACGGAGCUUAGAGGAGAUUCCACGUCUAGGGCAGCUGCGCUUCUUCUUUCAGCUGUUCGUUCAAGGCUAUGCCCUGCAACUGCACCAGUUACAGGGAAGGACACCACUGGUACCAGCUGCGCCAGGCUCUGAACCAGCGGUUGCUGAAGCCAGCGGAGGCAGCGCUCUAUACGGAUGCUUUCAAUGAGGUGACUGAUGACUUUAUGACUCGACUGGACCAGCUGCGGGCAGAGAGUGCUUCGGGGAACCAGGUGUCAGACACGGCUCAACUCUUCUACUACUUUGCCUUGGAAGGUACCGUUGCUGGGAGAGGGGCUGGGGAAGGGAAUGGGUCAGGGAGAGGUUGUGCUCCCUCUCCUCAAGGGCUUCUGGAUUCCAUAUGUCCUGGUUCUGCCUCCUGUGAUGGCCUCUGUGCACUACUCAGCUAUUUGCUACAUCCUGUUCGAGAAACGCAUUGGCUGCCUGCAGCGAUCCAUCCCCGAGGACACCGUGACCUUCGUCAGAUCCAUUGGGUUAAUGUUCCAGAACUCACUCUAUGCCACCUUCCUCCCCAAGUGGACUCGCCCUGUGCUGCCUUUCUGGAAGCGAUACCUGGAUGGUUGGAAUGCCAUCUUUUCCUUUGGUGAGGACUCCCAGAUUGGGCCCAUGGAAGAGAGAUGGGGGUGACUCCAGGUCUGUGCGUCAGCAGUCUCUCUCAGGCCUUUUCCCUCAUGCUACCAGUUGUUGGAGUGGCUCUUGGUCCUUGGAGAUCAUGACUUUUGGCUUUGUCCUUUCCUCUUCUCUGUUGCUCUCACAGGGAAGAAGCUGAUUGAUGAGAAACUUGAGGAUAUGGAGGCCCAACUGCAGGCAGCGGGGCCAGAUGGCAUCCAGGUGUCUGGCUACCUGCACUUCUUACUGGCCAGUGGACAGCUCAGUCCUCGGGAGGCCAUGGGCAGCCUGCCUGAGCUGCUCAUGGCUGGAGUGGACACGACAUCCAACACGCUGACAUGGGCCCUGUACCACCUCUCAAAGGACCCUGAGAUCCAGGAGGCCUUGCACGA